This 312-nucleotide long non-coding RNA is filed under the name Elaeis guineensis (African oil palm). RNAcentral's name for it is "long non-coding RNA (EGUI_LNC041515)". Lineage: Eukaryota; Viridiplantae; Streptophyta; Magnoliopsida; Arecales; Arecaceae. The record is from RNAcentral.
AAUAUGGGACACCCCAAAACUUAUUUUUCAUGUGAAAUCAGAUCUUAAUCUGAUUUCCCAUGAUGAGAAACCUUAUUUUGUCACACAAAAUAAUGCAAUAAAAAGCAAGUGGCGGCAAGAGUUGUAGAUAAAGUCAAACCUUAUCUUAUAUGGUAUCCCAUUCAAAUCAAAUUUGAACAUACCAUAUAAUAUCAGAUUUUACUCAAAUUUAAAUGUGAGAUAGAAAAAUGAAAGAGCUCUUUCACAUAAAAAAAAUCUCAUGCAAAAGCUAUUUGUACAUGGAGAAAAGUGGCAUCCAAAGUAAGAGGCACA